CGCCAAUCAUCCUUGCAUUAGUCACUAGAGCUACCAGAGAUUUUACGCAGAGAGGGGGUGUUGAAGUAUCGAGAGGCGCCAUUGCCGUAACCGACCUUUCACCAAUUUUCCCCUUUUCUCUCAGAAUACCCAAUACACAGCUUUAGCUCUUUCCACAAGUAUACCUCUCAGUUGCUCUCGCAGUGAAUCCCUUCUAUCUUACGGAUUUUGCCUUAAUUCACGUCAUCCUUCGUCAAAACCCUAAAAGAUGUCGGGCGGGUUCUUUCGGGGUACUUCUGCUGAUCAAGACACUCGAUUCUCGAACAAGCAAGCCAAGUUGUUGAAAUCGCAGAAGUUCGCUCCCGAAUUGGAACAUCUGGUGGAUAUGAGGAAAGUGAAGAUGGAUGUUAUCAGACCAUGGAUUGCUAAUAGGGUGACUGAGCUUCUUGGGUUUGAAGAUGAAGUUCUUAUCAACUUUAUUUAUGGCCUCCUUGAUGCAAAGGAAGUGAAUGGGAAGGAGGUUCAAAUAUCACUUACAGGAUUUAUGGAGAAAAACACUGGAAAGUUUAUGAAAGAGCUUUGGACACUUCUUCUCAGUGCUGAGAAGAAUGAAAGUGGUGUUCCUCAGCAAUUCUUGGAUGCGAAAGAAGAGGAAACCCGGAAGAAGCAGGCAGAGGUGGAUAGGAUAACAAAUGAAAUUCAGAAAAAGAAAGAGAAGGAGGGUGAAGAAUUUGAGCAGGAGAGAUCAAAGAAGAUGGAUGGUGGGGCUGAAACAAAGGCCAAUGUUGCUGGUGUGGAGCCAGCCUCAAAGCAUAUGGCAAAGGGUUCUAGUGGUGAUCCUGAGGAUGAUAAAGGAACUGACAAUAGGAAUGUUGGGACAGGAAGAAACAGGUUUUCUAUAUCUCCCCUUUCUUCUGAUCGUUCAUCUUCAUCAUCCCCUCGAGGUUCACCUUCUCAGAACAGCAGGUCAUUUUCAAAUUCAAGAAGUUAUUCAGGCGACCGGCACAAGUCCAGGAAUCUGUCUAGAUCACCAGAAGCACAAAGGAAAUCUGUUUCUUUGGAUAUUGUCUACCGCUCUCCAGGAAAAAGGUCUAUUACACCUCAUUGGAGGUAUUCAUCUCGGUUCUCCCUUUCACCUUCAAGAAGGAGAUCAUUGUAUUCUAGGCAAAGAUCAAGAUCAUCUUCACGCUGCAGAUUGCCUUCUCCAGGAGGACGUAGAUUGCACUCUCCAUUUCGACGCAGAUCGCCCUCAGCAAUUCACCAUAGAUCUCCCUCGCCUAUUCGGCGUCAUAGAUCUCCCUCACCCAUUCAACGUCGUAGAUUGCCCUCGCCCAUUCGACGCCGUAGAUCGCCCUCGCCCUUUCGCCGUAGAUCACCCUCGCCCUUUCGCCGUAGAUCACCCUCACCCAUUCGACGCCGUAGAUCGCCUUC
This 1410-nucleotide unclassified non-coding RNA is filed under the name Hevea brasiliensis (rubber tree). Lineage: Eukaryota; Viridiplantae; Streptophyta; Magnoliopsida; Malpighiales; Euphorbiaceae. The record is from RNAcentral.